This 470-nucleotide ribosomal RNA is filed under the name uncultured bacterium. RNAcentral's name for it is "bacterial SSU rRNA". It matches the Rfam family "Bacterial small subunit ribosomal RNA", at positions 331 to 793 of the family's 1533-position model. The record is from RNAcentral.
CCAGACUCCUACUUUAUUCAUCAUUUUGGAAUUUUUUACAAUUUUCUCAAUCCUUAUCCAUCUAUUCCUCGUUUUGUAUUACUGCCCUCGUGUUUUAAACCACUUUAGUAUAGAACGAAAAUGAUCUAUCUAAUAAAUAGCUCUGCUGACGGUACUCUAAGAAUAAGCACCGGCUAACUACGUGCCAGCAUCCGCGGUAAUACGUAGGGUGCGAGCGUUAAUCGGAAUUACUGGGCGUAAAGGGUGUGCGGGCGGCUGAGUAAGACAGAUGUGAAAUCCCCGGGCUUAACCUGGGAACCGCAUAUGUGACUGCUUGGCUAGAGUGCGUCAGAGGGAGGUGGAAUUCCACGUGUAGCAGUGAAAUGCGUAGAUAUGUGGAAGAACACCGAUGGAGAAGGAAGCCUACUGGGACGCAACUGACGCUCAUAAAAGAAAGAGUGGGGAGCAAACAGGAUUAGAUACCCGAGUAU